UUGCCAGACAGAUGGAGACGGAGCAGCACGGACUUUACAAAGUCAAGGUAAUCCAUGUAAAAGUAGAUAUAAAUAUAUGGGUUAAUUGAAGUUGUAAGAGCUAGUUAGCAACAAGCCUAAGCUAUUAGCCAAGGAUUUAUAAUUAAUAAUAAGUGUUAGGAAUUUUUCCUAAUGUGCGCUCUCUGCCAAUGCAAAAAUCCCAAUCAAGCAAAUCACAACAAGCCAAAUUUGAAAAUAUCCAAGUUUAAUGGGAUUCCUGCACUCUCGGGGGAACCAGGGAGGCCACAAAUGCGACCACCAGGGGAGAGGAAAGAGACCACAUGUUUCUACUUUGGGAACUCACAAAAAAACCCUGUGGGAGUGGUCCUGACCCUCCUAGAGGGAAGCCUGGCAUGCUGGAAUUUGGAGUCCAGACCAAAGCAACUCCCAGGUCAGGGAGGCUGGGACAGAUGCUAGGGGCUGGGGACUAUGCCCCCAACUUAACAAUAAGUUUCUGCGUGGUUAUUUGGGAGCUACUGGUGGGAAAAAUAUCCCGCCUACAGUCCAGAACAUUGUUUUUAAUAAGUUAAGACUUAUUUAUUUCCCAUCCUUCCCACCUACCUCACUUCCUCUUCUCUCCACUUGAAGACCCUCUCCCUACAUGUCUCCUUCCACUAGCUCUGAGGAGCAAAGAGAAUUUUCCAGAUUUCUAAAGGUUCUCUAAGAGUGACUGCUAAAAUUCUCCAUUUAAAAAUAUCUUUAUUUUUAUUAUUUUUAAUUAUGUGUAGGUGUGUGUGUGUCUGUAUGUGGGCGUGCAUGCGAGUGCAAUUGCCUGCAGAGACCAGUGGUGUCUGAUCCUCCUGAGCUGGAGUUAUGAAUGAUUGUGAGUCACCUGAUAUGGGCACUAGGCGCUGAACUCUGGUCCUGUGAAAAUGUAACAUAUAUGCCUAAUGACUGAACCAUCCCUCUAGCCCCUAGGGCUUCCAUUUUUAUGUCUACAGGACGUCAUACAUCAAGUGAUGUAUGACAUGGAGGUUUUCCAACUAUUGAUUCUCAAGCUUCCACCCAACUUUAUUCUAUAUGGUGCAUAGUCUACAAAGUCAUUUCUUGGGCUGUUUUUAAGGUAGCAUUUCAACUACACUUGUAGAGAAUUUUUUUUUAUCCAUUCUCUCUAUCUAUUCAAUACCACUGAAUUGGUUAUCUGCCUUGGAAAUUGAAAAACAGGAGAUGGGAGUUGAAAAUAUUGAUUCUUAGGCUUUAAAAAUGGACAAAUUUAGCAAAACCCUUGUUCUUCUAGAAUUAGGCCUGGAAAUAACCACACACUGCUCUCUCGGAUAGCUUUUUCUGUAUACUAAACUGCCUUCCAAAGCUUGUGGUGUAGAACGACAGCUAUUUUUGUGGCAGACGACUGUGUGGAUCAGCAAUUAGGAUGGGACAGCCUCAGCUGUGGGGCUGCUGGGUCGGGAACUGUGGUGCCUUCUGCCUGACUGGUGCGUGGUUACUCUUCAUGGCCUGUGUGCUGUCCGGCAGAUGACUUAGGCUCCUCCACGUCACGUCUGCAUAGGGACUCUGGAGAAAGAGUCACUCCAAGGCCAAACCUGAAACUGGCAUCGCACCAAUCUGCACAUUCUAUUGAGCAAUGCACGGGGUUCUUGAUGGGAAUCUAUCUGAGUCAGAUCCCCAAAGACGCAGAGAUGGGAAGUCAGUUGUUUUUAAAAUCUGCCACACGUCUAAUGAAGAGCGGGUACCAACACAUGACUAUCACAUAUCCCUCACUUGAAACAAUAGUACGUCGUCAUGAAACAAUAGUAUGUCGUCAUACCUUUUAGCAUUGCUGCCACACGCACAGCAGACACUGAAAUAACUUUCAGUUUAGCCCGCUGUCCUAGGUCUGUAUAAUAAAUGGAUAUCUUCCUUAGACACGAUAGUGUUCAUGUGGCUGUAGUCUGUGCAGAUCUGUAUUGUAGACUAUAGGUUCUCUGGGUAGACUGAAGUAGACAUUACAAAGGACAUUCAUUAGGGUUCAUCCCUGAGGUCGACUCCUGUGGAAGAGACAGAGGAGGAGCUGAGUGACCCUGCAAGUCCGUGGCCUCAGUGGACCCUGAGGGAGCUCUGAGGUAUCAAAAGCUUGUCAGUGCAGUUAGAGAUUGGGCAGUGUGACUAAGCCUUCAUACCGAACCCUUUCAUUAGCGUGCACUAGAUGUAGGCCUCCUGUGGGGAGAACAAAACCUAGAGUCCAGAAGUACUCAGCUAUAGAUGGAGGUUUGGACAGCAGUGCCAAGGCCACAGGGCCUUCCUUCAAGAGCCAUCAAACGCUAAAGGGGUUAUGGGAAGAUUCUGGUUACAAACAACUGACUGUCUGUAGGAAACGCUGCGUGACACAGAGUGCCAUUUAUUGACUCUGUUGCUUUCCUCAGAGGGUUUCAAAUAGCUUUGUGAAGGGUUUGACUCAUAGCCCUAUUCCCUUCAGUUAGAUCUGAAAAAUCAGUAAUGUGCUCACUGAGGAAUUAAUUCAUUUCUCAUGCAAAUCUGCUUCCAUGCUGUUUCUGGCUGUAGCGUUUCCUUCCACAGGAGAAUACAUUUCUGCCAUUCUGGCCAACAAUCCUCCUCAUUGGUGCUGGGAUCAUUGGAAUGUGCUGCCCUGCCUGGCUUUGAAAACAUAUCUUAACGUAGACUUCUGUUUGAAAAAGCGAAGAUGGCAGAACACGGAUCAAUUCUCCAAGAUCUGCAUUGUAAACACAGUUGCAGCUGUUCCUGGGAUUGCCCACGAACAGACGCUUGGCACAAAGAAAGAAGAUGGGAAGUUGGGAAUCAAGUGGGAACAAACGAGCUGGCGAGAAUAUGCAUCAAAACUGCUAAGGCAAACAAUGAGUCACUGGGUCUCUACCAUUCUUCCCUGCGGAAGCCGCUCCUGGACUUUGCUGCGUUUUGUUUGUGAACAGGUUUAGAAAUAUUAUUUCAAUAAACAGUGGAUUGGCUUUAUUCUUGUUUCCAGUCCUAAGGCCACGCCUCCAGGCUUGGCUUGGGAAUGGAUUUUAUUAAUAAAAGCUGUCCAAAUAGUCUACAGUUAAAA
Long non-coding RNA from Alexandromys fortis (reed vole), 3052 nucleotides. RefSeq lists it as uncharacterized. The record is from RefSeq and is a predicted model, not a curated record. The transcript has 2 exons. NCBI's taxonomy places the organism in Eukaryota, Metazoa, Chordata, Mammalia, Rodentia, Cricetidae.